This 230-nucleotide long non-coding RNA is filed under the name Linum usitatissimum (flax). Its description in RNAcentral is "long non-coding RNA (LUSI_LNC004593)". Lineage: Eukaryota; Viridiplantae; Streptophyta; Magnoliopsida; Malpighiales; Linaceae. The record is from RNAcentral.
UUAAUAAUUUCUGAUUUCCUACGUACCUGGAUCUCGGAAUCCAAGUUUGUUUAGUUCAAAAUUGAUAAAUUUGGUAUGUUUUGCAAUCCAUUUAUACUCGGGUGCUCGAGUUGAAUCCUUUUGAAAGUUUGGUGAUAUUGACCGUUAAGAAUUACUUACGAGAUUUUUUUGGGUCGACUCCAAUUAUUUUUAAUCCGCUACGUACCCCGGGUCUCGUGAUCAAAGUCUGU